Molecule: ribosomal RNA, 253 nt
Filed under: uncultured bacterium
Lineage: Bacteria
Description: partial 16S ribosomal RNA
Rfam family: Bacterial small subunit ribosomal RNA
Source: RNAcentral
UACGAAGGGUGCAAGCGUUACUCGGAAUUACUGGGCGUAAAGCGUGCGUAGGCGGUUUGUUAAGUCUGUCGUGAAAGCCCCGGGCUCAACCUGGGAAUGGCGAUGGAAACUGGCGAGCUAGAGUACGGUAGAGGAGAGUGGAAUUCCCGGUGUAGCAGUGAAAUGCGUAGAUAUUGGGAAGAACACCGGUGGCGUAAGCGGCUUGGUGGGCUUUAACUGACACUGAGGAACGAAAGCUAGGGGAGCGAAUGGG